RNAcentral lists this ribosomal RNA (404 nucleotides) under uncultured bacterium. RNAcentral's name for it is "bacterial SSU rRNA". It matches the Rfam family "Bacterial small subunit ribosomal RNA", at positions 355 to 775 of the family's 1533-position model. The record is from RNAcentral.
UAGGGAAUAUUAGUUAAUGUGCGAAAGCGCGAACUAGCAACGCCGCGUGUGCGAUGAAGGCCUUCGGGUCGUAAAGCACUUUUCUAAGGGAUGAGGAAGGACAGUACCUUAGGAAUAAGCAUCGGCUAACUACGUGCCAGCAGCCGCGGUAAAACGUAGGAUGCGAGCGUUAUCCGGAUUUACUGGGCGUAAAGCGCGUGUAGGCGGUUCGGUAAGUUGGAUGUGAAAGCUCCCGGCUUAACUGGGAGAGGUCGUUCAAUACUGCCGAGCUAGAGGAUGGUAGAGGGAGGUGGAAUUCCGAGUGUAGUGGUGAAAUGCGUAGAUAUUCGGAGGAACACCAGUGGCGAAAGCGGCCUCCUGGACCAUUUCUGACGCUCAGACGCGAAAGCUAGGGUAGCAAACGG